Molecule: ribosomal RNA, 580 nt
Filed under: uncultured Actinomycetes bacterium
Lineage: Bacteria; Bacillati; Actinomycetota; Actinomycetes
Description: bacterial SSU rRNA
Rfam family: Bacterial small subunit ribosomal RNA
Source: RNAcentral
AGAGUUUGAUCCUGGCUCAGGACGAACGCUGGCGGCGUGCUUAACACAUGCAAGUCGAACGGUAAGGCCCUUCGGGGUACACGAGUGGCGAACGGGUGAGUAACACGUGAGUAACCUGCCCCGGACUCUGGGAUAAGCAUUCGAAAGGGUGUCUAAUACUGGAUAGGACCUUCACCUGCAUGGGUGGGGGUGGAAAGAUUUUUUGGUUCGGGAUGGGCUCGCGGCCUAUCAGCUUGUUGGUGGGGUGAUGGCCUACCAAGGCGUCGACGGGUAGCCGGCCUGAGAGGGCGACCGGCCACACUGGGACUGAGAUACGGCCCAGACUCCUACGGGAGGCAGCAGUGGGGAAUAUUGCGCAAUGGGCGGAAGCCUGACGCANCAACGCCGCGUGCGGGAUGACGGCCUUCGGGUUGUAAACCGCUUUCACCCAUGACGAAUUUUUUUAUGACGGUNGUGGGAGAAGAAGCACCGGCCAACUACGUGCCAGCAGCCGCGGUGAUACGUAAGGUGCGAGCGUUGUCCGGAAUUAUUGGGCGUAAAGAGCUUGUAGCGGUUGUCGCGUCGAAGUGAAACUCGGGCC